Molecule: long non-coding RNA, 2470 nt
Organism: Esox lucius (northern pike)
Lineage: Eukaryota; Metazoa; Chordata; Actinopteri; Esociformes; Esocidae
Source: Ensembl
UACCAAAACCCUUUUUUUAAUUAAGGAUGUGGUCUGAAUUCUUGAAUGCCCUGUCUGAGGUGUAUAACAAGGCAGCUGUUAAAACCUGUUAAAUAGAAACCUUCCAUUCCAUGUAUCAUGAACUUGCUCAGGCUAGUUGUGAUGAAAAGAACGUUUUUGUUUUUUUUAAUCAGAAAAAUUCCAGUUGAUGGUGCACUCAUCAUGUUUCACUAAAAUCAAAUGAUGACAAAUGGUGAGUGAGCCUGGGGAUGAGGUUAUAUAAAGGAGGUCUGAGGAGGAGAUUGGGCAUUCCUCUGAAACACCCGAGACACAUCACGAAGAGGUCAACCUGGUGCCGUGUCCACUGCUUCCAUCAUCAUGUCCAAACUGAUCUGUGGGCUUCUCCUCCUGGUCGUCGUGGACUCCUUUUGGUGCGACAGCAGAGUCUCUGCUCCCAAGAAGACCCAGGAAAUCCUAUGGCGUUGUGAGUGCAAAGGUAAGCAUGUCAAUUGCAUAAGCGCUCUUUAGGAAUAAAUGACAGUGUGGAAUCUAUGUAUUAAUGCAGUAUUCUUAUUGUAUUGCGACUAUAUGAAAGUAGGUUUCAUUGGAAGUAAAACGUGCCUGGAUAAUGAGAACAGCAGAAACAUCUGUGUUUGGAUUCUCUCUCUGUAGAUCACGCUCUGCCAACCUCAGGAAUGUGAAUGUUUUUUUUGACCAUUUGGCAUAGGGGUCCUCAUGGAAAUGUGAUCUGUGCUAGGUAGACACGCCUAUUAAUUUUUAUACCAGCUAACAACCAUCUUAACCAAGAGAAUUCUGGAAAGUUCACCCUAAGGACAACUCUGCUGCAUUAUUCCAAUAAAUACUGAAUGUUUUUUCUCCCUCGAUUUGAACAGGUUCCCUAUUACUGAAUCAUCACCAUAUGUAACAGCUAAAUUCUAACAACAGUGAUGAAUUGUGUUUGUCGACACCACUGCCUAAAUGCACCUAAUCACUGUAGUGUCCUGCAAACCCAGGAAAGACCAUUAGCACCGUCCAGCUUGUGUGACUGUGAUACCGUGGUGUAUCUGUCUCCAGAGAUGUCUAACCAAAGCACUUCGUUGGUUAAAUGGCUCUCUUUCUCUCCUCAGUUCUUCCCAAUGGAAGUGAGAUCUGCAUCAUGUCCAGACCCCAACGCAGAAAAAGAAAAUCAGUCAUGCCUUUGCAGCCAACAUCAUCUGCUUAGUAAGUAUACAUUUUUAGCAGUAAAGGAAGACCGAUGAACUGAGAUAAUAUGUUGAGAACAGUGUUUUUGGAGGUGCCAGGCCAAAUCAAUUGUGUUAUUUUGUGAAUGGAGUGUUCAUUUAAUAAUAUUGUAGAUGUGUCUGCCAGUUAGAUUGGAGUCAUGGCUGAUCAAAGGCAUGGCUUGGAUAUAGUUGUUUUAAGAAAAUAUGUUGCAAGCUACUUAUUUUGUUGCUUUCAAUUUUGAAAAUAAAUUGCUUGCUACUGUGUUUGGAUUUUUUAAUAAACACUGGGGUGAUGUGAUUUGCACUGUUACAAUAGUAGUUGAAGACUGAAGUGUCUGAUACGUGUGAAAUAUGCAGUUUUCAGUGGAACAAGUAUAUUACACAAACAAAAAUGUAAAGGGCAAAAUGUACUAUAUAUGUAGCAUGCAGUAAAUACUUUCAUUGCAUUACAUCAUCAUCAUCAGUUUUCUUUUUAGGUAAGUUGCAUUAUUCUUAGUGAAUUGUUUUGCUCUCCAUAACUCUGUCUGUCUGUCUUCCUUUCUGUGUAGAAUUCAAGGACAUGUCUGUCUUGGACAUCCAGAAGAAAUGCAAUCACACGCCAAAAUAUCCCAUUCCGAGCAAUCCCAUCGGAUUCCUGUGAGGAUGAAAGGGCUCCCUUUAUCUCUCUGUGCUGUUAGAAAUCGGCCGUUUCGUAUAGUGGUUGUAAUAAUUAGAUUACCCGUUUGUCAAGGGAGAGAGAAAUUAUAUUAUUUAUUGCAGCAUUAGAAAGUCUUGUUCAUGAGGUUACGGACCUGGUCUUCCUUACACAACCUCAAUCUCAUCUCACUCAAUCUAUUCUCACUGUAAUGUUGGUUACAAGCUGAUAUAUACAUUGAAGGGGGUGUCUACCUAGCAAAGAUCAGGUUUCCAAGACAGUUACCUCCAUGCCAAAUGGUCAAUGUAAACAUUCCUGUGGUUAGUAGAGCACAACCUACAGAGAGAUAAUCUACACAGAGAUGUUUCUGUUGUUCUCAUUAUCUAGGCGCAUUCACCUACAAUGAAACGUACAUUCACAUUGUAAUUGUUAAUGCUCAGAUACCACAAUGCCUUUCUGUCAAAUCCUUUUAAAUCAUUGUUAUACCUGCAGCAUUGAUUGAAAUAUGUAAAUUAAAUAAAGGUUUUCACCAUAUUGUCAAUGUAUUUGUGUUGAUCCACCAGCUUUGUAGACAAUAUUUACAUCUGCAAGUAGAAAAGAAUAUUGUACUCCGUAUGCAAAUAAAUGAUAAAGC